GACAGUGCCCUAGAGCUGUGGCUAAACUCCCAGUGCCUUCCUGGAACCCCAGGAGGAGAAGGGGCCACAAGAGACCAGGGAUAGGGAGGGCUUGGGCUGGGCUGGGACGGCCCCCCAGGAGUGGCUCAGCCUGGACUGGGCAGGGCAUGGAGAAAGGGAGAGGAACUCGGGAAAGGGGCUGUGGUCGGCUAAAUUAGGCCCCGCGGGGACAGUCGUGUCCCAAUCCUGGACCUGUCUAUGUGUCAUGUGUGGCCACAGGGACUUUGCAGAUGUCAUGUCAAUUAGGAGCCUGAGGUGGGAAAUGCUCCUGGGUUAUCCAGGCACCCGUCCCAGUCACCGUCCCUACCAGAAGUCCCUGUCCUGGGCAUCUGCUCUGAGGUCUUCCUCCAGUGGAGGAAUUGCCCCGUAACUGGGACCCACAGAGGACAGAAUCACAGAAGAGGGCAGGAGCCCAGGCAAGGAGGGGCAAAGAUUCCAGACCUCCAGACAGGCUUAGACCUUAGCCUUCGACAGACAGGAAAGGGAAAAACUCCCCGUGUUUAACUUGGGAUCUCAAAGAGGAGAGA
Molecule: long non-coding RNA, 566 nt
Filed under: Homo sapiens (human)
Lineage: Eukaryota; Metazoa; Chordata; Mammalia; Primates; Hominidae
Description: HSALNT0405122
Source: RNAcentral